ACCUUGUUGCUUCGGCGGGCCCGCCGCAAGGCCGCCGGGGGGCUCUGCCCUCUGGCCCGCGCCCGCCGAAGACACCAUUGAACGCUGUCUGAAGAUUGCAGUCUGAGCAAUUAGUUAAAUAACUUAAAACUUUCAACAACGGAUCUCUUGGUUCCGGCAUCGAUGAAGAACGCAGCGAAAUGCGAUACGUAAUGUGAAUUGCAGAAUUCAGUGAAUCAUCGAGUCUUUGAACGCACAUUGCGCCCCCUGGUAUUCCGGGGGGCAUGCCUGUCCGAGCGUCAUUGCUGCCCUCAAGCACGGCUUGUGUGUUGGGCUCCGUCCUCCUCCCGGGGGACGGGCCCGAAAGGCAGCGGCGGCACCGCGUCCGGUCCUCGAGCGUAUGGGGCUUCGUCACCCGCUCUGUAGGCCCGGCCGGCGCUUGCCGACACAUCAAUCUUUUUUCCAGGUUGACCUCGGAUCAGGUAGGGAUACCCGCUGAACUUAAGCAUAUCAAUAAGCGGG
This 501-nucleotide ribosomal RNA is filed under the name Penicillium citreonigrum. RNAcentral describes it as "eukaryotic LSU rRNA". The stretch from base 128 to 281 matches the Rfam family "5.8S ribosomal RNA". The record is from RNAcentral. Lineage: Eukaryota; Fungi; Ascomycota; Eurotiomycetes; Eurotiales; Aspergillaceae.